UCUUUGGUAGCUUAGAUGGUAAAGAAUCUGACUGCGAUUCAGGACACCUGGGUUCAAUCCCUGGGUCAGGAA
RNAcentral lists this transfer RNA (72 nucleotides) under Bos indicus x Bos taurus (hybrid cattle). It matches the Rfam family "tRNA". From Rfam's summary of the family: Transfer RNA (tRNA) molecules are approximately 80 nucleotides in length. Their secondary structure includes four short double-helical elements and three loops (D, anti-codon, and T loops). The record is from Rfam by way of RNAcentral. Lineage: Eukaryota; Metazoa; Chordata; Mammalia; Artiodactyla; Bovidae.